AUGGUCGCCGAGAGAUCCCUCCACGCCCCCUCAAGGGAUGGGAAGUGGCGGGCAGAGUACCUCCCCCACGCAUGUUUGGUUUCUGAUCCACCCCUAAUUCCAUUAUACACUGCUACAUCUUAUUUGUCAUCUACUCACAACAUUGCAAGAUGUGGCAUGGCCUAACAGGAUGACAUUACAAAGACUGAGGUGACAGAAUCUAGCCGUGUCAUGGGCAAGCCGGUUGGCAACAUUGUGACAUGACAUCAGUCGUAGUUGCCCACACUUUAAAUUGCAACUGUGUGGUGAUCAGGACAUUCUGUGUUGCUUGGACAACCGAGCUGAGAUGGCGAUGCCACCACCUACUUGUAUAUGUACACGACCUCCGGUGAUGAUUUCUUUUCCAAAAAUGAAGAAGAUUGUCGUUCAACUGAUGACAAAACACCUAGAGUACGUGCAAAAAAUACUACUUCCUCAUUUACAUCAAACUCAUUGAUACGACAAAGGGAAGAUUUUGGGUGGCAAGGUAUAUGAUUAGAUAAUGUGUAAUCUUCUAGAUGCAUUUAUUCUAUGCUUCCAUUGUGUUCUUUAGACAUGCCUCUUUUCGUUAUUUUACAUCAGUUAAAUGAAGUUCAUAUUAUUCUAUUAUCUGAUUGUAGCUUCAAAGUUUGAUUACAGCAGAGUCAUUGGUACGACAUACACAGUUUGUGAAUUUACCUACUACUACGAGUUACGUCAGAUAGCAAUGUUUUGUUGCCCAAAAAAAUAUUGCAUGAAACGCCUGAUGUCUUGUGAAUGUGUAUAGUAGCUACCAGUAGGUGUUCAAACUGUACACCUUCUUUAAAGCAUGAAUAAGGUGCUAGCUUAUGUGUUGCAGUUGCUUUGCAUUGUUCAGAUGCAAUGUGUUUUCGCUCAGCGGGAGCAGUUCUUCUGAUUAUUUAUAAUUUUUAGUUUGCUUCUUAUAAUUCUACGACAAUUUUUGCGACUUGGAAUCUAUAGCAUCCCCUUUUCUCACUGGAAAUGACAUGUAAGAACAAACCAGUUCCAGUUCUGGCAUAGUUCUGAUGGUUGAAGUGUAUGUCAGUAUGAUUUAGUAUAUGCAUGGGAGUACCUGCUAAACGAUGAAGCAUAUUGUGUCGUGUUAGCUCCAUCUAGCUUUACUAUCUGGAAUUAUGUAUCUAGCUUUUGUAUGUUGUAUUCCCUUUCGCCACAUCUACAUACUUGAUGAAGCUUUUUUCUGAUUGCAAAGUAUGUGCAAGUCAGUAGUGAACACUCUAUAUCGUUGUUCCAGAAAAGUAGGUUUCAGCAAUUUCCGCAACAUUUCAUGUCCGUUCCAUGUAGUAGUUUUUGUGGAAUUAUAUUGAUGAUUUCCUUUU
Triticum urartu is the source of this 1355-nucleotide non-coding RNA. The record is from RefSeq and is a predicted model, not a curated record. NCBI's taxonomy places the organism in Eukaryota, Viridiplantae, Streptophyta, Magnoliopsida, Poales, Poaceae.